Molecule: ribosomal RNA, 407 nt
Filed under: uncultured bacterium
Lineage: Bacteria
Description: partial 16S ribosomal RNA
Rfam family: Bacterial small subunit ribosomal RNA
Source: RNAcentral
GACGAACGCUGGCGGCGUGCCUAAUACAUGCAAGUAGGACGCAGUUGCGAACGGGUGAGUAACGCGUAGGUAACUGCCUCUUAGAGGGGGAUAACUAUUGGAAACGAUAGCUAAUACCGCAUACUAGUAGAUGGACCUGCGUUGUAUUAGCUAGUAGGUAGGGUCAGGGCCUACCUCGGCGACGAUACAUAGCCCACUUGGAAGGGUGAUAGGACACUAUGGAACGGAGACACGGACCAGACGCCUCCGUGAAGAAGCAGGAGGGCAUCUUCGGAAAUGGGGGGAACCAUGAUCGAGCAACGCCGGGUGAGUGGAUAAGGAUUUCGGGUGGUAAAGCUCUGUUGCUAAGGAAGCGGUACUCAACCAGAACGGGAAGGAUAACUACGUGCCAGCAGCCGCGGUAAUAC